This 88-nucleotide transfer RNA is filed under the name Flavisolibacter sp. RNAcentral describes it as "tRNA-Ser". It matches the Rfam family "tRNA". From Rfam's summary of the family: Transfer RNA (tRNA) molecules are approximately 80 nucleotides in length. The record is from RNAcentral. Lineage: Bacteria; Pseudomonadati; Bacteroidota; Chitinophagia; Chitinophagales; Chitinophagaceae.
GGAGAGGUGCUCGAGUGGUUGAAGAGGCACGCCUGGAAAGUGUGUAUACUCCUAAAGGGUAUCGCGGGUUCGAAUCCCGCCCUCUCCG